UACGGAGGGGGCUAGCGUUGUUCGGAAUUACUGGGCGUAAAGCGCACGUAGGCGGCUUUGCAAGUUAGAGGUGAAAGCCCGGGGCUCAACUCCGGAAUUGCCUUUAAAACUGCAUCGCUAGAAUUGUGGAGAGGUAAGUGGAAUUCCGAGUGUAGAGGUGAAAUUCGUAGAUAUUCGGAGGAACACCAGAAGCGAAGGCGGCCAACUGGCCCGAUACUGACGCUGAGGCGCGAAAGCGUGGGGAGCAAACAGG
This 253-nucleotide ribosomal RNA is filed under the name uncultured bacterium. Its description in RNAcentral is "partial 16S ribosomal RNA". It matches the Rfam family "Bacterial small subunit ribosomal RNA", at positions 524 to 776 of the family's 1533-position model. The record is from RNAcentral.